GGGGACGUAGCUCAGUGGCAGAGCACAUGUUUGCUUACAGAUGGCACCAGGUUCAAUCUCUGGCAUUUCCA
Non-coding RNA from Podarcis lilfordi (Lilford's wall lizard), 71 nucleotides. Lineage: Eukaryota; Metazoa; Chordata; Lepidosauria; Squamata; Lacertidae. The record is from the annotation of a GenBank genome assembly.